Molecule: ribozyme, 116 nt
Filed under: Aedes aegypti (yellow fever mosquito)
Lineage: Eukaryota; Metazoa; Arthropoda; Insecta; Diptera; Culicidae
Description: drz-agam-1 ribozyme
Rfam family: drz-agam-1 ribozyme
Source: Rfam by way of RNAcentral
UACCCAGCAAUUCUUAUCCCUACCUCCUCGUGGUACUAGCCGGGGUACGAGUAACCUUAGGGAAGAUCAAGUAAUCAACCCCGGUGGGAACUCUGGUCGUAUUCUGCCAGGGAAGG